GUUAGGAAUAUUGGACAAUGGGCGAAAGCCUGAUCCAGCCAUGCCGCGUGAACGAUGAAGGCCUUCGGGUUGUAAAGUUCUUUAGCCGAUGAUUAUAAUGACUGUAGUCGGAAAAUAAGCCCCGACUAACUUCGUGCCAGCAGCCGCGGUAAUACGAAGGGGGCGAGCGUUAUUCGGAAUCACUGGGCGUAAAGCGUGCGUAGGCGGUUUUGUAAGUUAGGAGUGAAAGCCCAGGGCUCAACCUUGGAAUUGCUCUUAAAACUGCAAGGCUCGAAUCUCGGAGAGGAUAGCGGAAUUUCCAGUGUAGCAGUGAAAUGCGUAGAUAUUGGAAGGAACACCAGUGGCGUAAGCGGCUAUCUGGACGAGUAUUGACGCUGAGGCACGAAAGCGUGGGGAUCAAACAGGAUUAGAAACCCUGGUAGUCC
Molecule: ribosomal RNA, 425 nt
Filed under: uncultured bacterium
Lineage: Bacteria
Description: partial 16S ribosomal RNA
Rfam family: Bacterial small subunit ribosomal RNA
Source: RNAcentral